Molecule: long non-coding RNA, 483 nt
Filed under: Lathyrus oleraceus (garden pea)
Lineage: Eukaryota; Viridiplantae; Streptophyta; Magnoliopsida; Fabales; Fabaceae
Description: Pisum sativum (pea) long non-coding RNA (PSAT_LNC012654)
Source: RNAcentral
AAGAAAGGAUAUGAUUAAGAGAAUUCAACUAAAUUGCUUAUCCUAAGGGAGCAUUCCCAAACAUUCAACUCUACACAAUUUCCUUUUCUUUGAUCCCUAUUUUUUUUUCUUUUCUUAUUACAUCCACACAACCAUGAGCAUUUCUUUGCUUUUUUUUUCUUUUUCGUUGCUCUAUGGUUUCAAGGGUGAUUUCUUUUUCUUGUUUCUUUUCAAAUUUUCACCCUUUCAUAAGAAACUCACUUUUCCAAGUUUCUAAUCAACUUUUCAUUUUACUCUCCCCAACUUUAGAUUCCAAAACCAAAUUUAUUCAAUAAUGCUCCCUACUUAGAUAUAAGCAAAAGGCAAAAUUUUGCAAACAACUCGGUUUGAGGUUUCAACUGAUACGAAAGAAAUUAUUCUCCCCAACUUUAGAUUCCAAAACCAAAUUUAUUCAAUAAUGCUCCCUACUUAGAUAUAAGCAAAAGGCAAAAUUUUGCAAACAAC